GACGAACGCUGGCGGCGUGCUUAACACAUGCAAGUCGAACGGAAAGGCCCUGCUUUUGUGGGGUGCUCGAGUGGCGAACGGGUGAGUAACACGUGAGUAACCUGCCCUUGACUUUGGGAUAACUUCAGGAAACUGGGGCUAAUACCGGAUAGGAGCUCCUGCUGCAUGGUGUGGGUUGGAACGUUUCGGCGGUUGGGGAUGGACUCGCGGCUUAUCAGCUUGUUGGUGGGGUAGUGGCUUACCAAGGCUUUGACGGGUAGCCGGCCUGAGAGGGUGACCGGCCACAUUGGGACUGAGAGACGGCCCAGACUCCUACGGGAGGCAGCAGUGGGGAAUAUUGCACAAUGGGCGGAAGCCUGAUGCAGCAACGCCGCGUGCGGGAUGACGGCCUUCGGGUUGUAAACCGCUUUCGCCUGUGACGAAGCGUGAGUGACGGUAAUGGGUAAAGAAGCACCGGCUAACUACGUG
RNAcentral lists this ribosomal RNA (468 nucleotides) under uncultured bacterium. RNAcentral describes it as "partial 16S ribosomal RNA". It matches the Rfam family "Bacterial small subunit ribosomal RNA", at positions 28 to 507 of the family's 1533-position model. The record is from RNAcentral.